GAUGAACGCUGGCGGCGUGCCUAAUACAUGCAAGUCGAGCGAACAGAUGAGGAGCUUGCUCCUCUGACGUUAGCGGCGGACGGGUGAGUAACACGUGGAUAACCUACCUAUAAGACUGGGAUAACUUCGGGAAACCGGAGCUAAUACCGGAUAAUAUAUUGAACCGCAUGGUUCAAUAGUGAAAGACGGUUUUGCUGUCACUUAUAGAUGGAUCCGCGCCGCAUUAGCUAGUUGGUAAGGUAACGGCUUACCAAGGCAACGAUGCGUAGCCGACCUGAGAGGGUGAUCGGCCACACUGGAACUGAGACACGGUCCAGACUCCUACAGGAAGCAGCAGUAGGGAAUCUUCCGCAAUGGGCGAAAGCCUGACGGAGCAACGCCGCGUGAGUGAUGAAGGUCUUCGGAUCGUAAAACUCUGUUAUUAGGGGAGAACAAAUGUGUAAGUAACUAUGCACGUCUUGACGGUACCUAAUCAGAAAGCCACGGCUAACUACGUG
RNAcentral lists this ribosomal RNA (497 nucleotides) under uncultured bacterium. RNAcentral's name for it is "partial 16S ribosomal RNA". It matches the Rfam family "Bacterial small subunit ribosomal RNA", at positions 28 to 507 of the family's 1533-position model. The record is from RNAcentral.